UGCGGGGUAGGGGAGCGUUGUGUAAGCGGAGAAACAGUAGCGUAAGCGGCUGUGGAGUUUACAGAAGUGAGAAUGCCGGAAUGAGUAGCGCGAAUGUGGUGAGAAUCCACAUGGCCGGAAACCUCAGGUUUUUGGAGGAAGGUUCGUCCGCUCCAAGUUAGGCGGGAGCUAAGGUCAGGCCGAAAGGCGUAGCCGAUGCACAGACGGUAGAGAUUCCGUCCCCACCGAAAGAUUUAAGCACAGGGACACUUUUUGAAGGUCGGAGCCAGGUGUUGGUUCUGGUAGUGAUCGAGGGAAAUAUAGUACCGAAGUCCGGCUGGAAGAGAGGCGAGAAAAGCUGUGUGUAUAUCUAAGGUGCCCGUACCGCAAACCGACACAGGUAGGUAGGAAGAAGAUUCUAAGGCCAACGGGAGAAGGGUUGUUAAGGAACUCGGCAAAUUGACCCCGUAACUUCGGGAGAAGGGGUGCUCCAGAGAUGGAGCCGCAGAGAAUCGGCCCAAGCAACUGUUUACCAAAAACACAGGUUUGUGCUAAAUCGAAAGAUGACGUAUACGAGCUGACGCCUGCCCGGUGCUGGAAGGUUAAAAGGAGAUGUGCAAGCAUUGAAUUGAAGCCCCAGUGAACGGCGGCCGUAACUAUAACGGUCCUAAGGUAGCGAAAUUCCUUGUCAGGUAAGUUCUGACCCGCAUGAAAGGCGUAAUGAUUUGGGCACUGUCUCAACAGCCCGCCCGGCGAAAUUGUAGUACCGGUGAAGAUGCCGGUUACCCGCGACAAGACGGAAAGACCCCAUGGAGCUUUACUGUAGCCUGAUAUUGGGUUUCGGUGUUGCAUGCACAGGAUAGAUGGGACGCUGGGAAAGAAGCGCUUUGGCGUUUCUGGAGCGGACGUUGGGAUACCAUCCUUGCGACAUUGGAAUUCUAACCUGCGCCUCUGAAUCGAGGCGGGGGACAUUGUCAGGUGGGCAGUUUGACUGGGGCGGUCGCCUCCUAAAAAGUAGCGGAGGCGUUCAAAGGUUCGUUCGAUCUGGACGGAAACCAGAUGAUUGAGUGCAAACGCAUAAACGAGCCUGACUGCGAGACUGACGGGUCGAGCAGAGACGAAAGUCGGAGUUAGUGAUCCGGUGGUAUGUGAGUGGAAAUGCCAUCGCUCAACGGAUAAAAGUUACCCUGGGGAUAACAGGCUGAUCUCCCCCAAGAGUCCACAUCGACGGGGAGGUUUGGCACCUCGAUGUCGGCUCAUCGCAUCCUGGGGCUGAAUUCGGUCCCAAGGGUUUGGCUGUUCGCCAAUUAAAGCGGUACGCGAGCUGGGUUCAGAACGUCGUGAGACAGUUCGGUCCCUAUCUGUCGUGGGCGCAGGAUAUUUGAAAGGCGCUGUCCCUAGUACGAGAGGACCGGGAUGGACGAACCUCUGGUGCACCAGUUGUCACGCCAGUGGCACAGCUGGGCAGCUAUGUUCGGAUCGGAUAAACGCUGAAAGCAUCUAAGCGUGAAGCCGGCCUUAAGAUAAGAUAUCCCACUGAGUCAAUCAGGUAAGACCCCUUGAAGACUACAAGGUUGAUAGGCACACAGUGUAAGCGGAGUGAUCCGUUCAGCUAGCGUGUACUAAUAGGUCGAGGGCUUGACCC
RNAcentral lists this ribosomal RNA (1624 nucleotides) under human gut metagenome. RNAcentral describes it as "bacterial LSU rRNA". It matches the Rfam family "Bacterial large subunit ribosomal RNA", at positions 1222 to 2925 of the family's 2925-position model. The record is from RNAcentral.